UAGAGUUUGAUCCUGGCUCAGGACGAACGCUGGCGGCGUGCUUAACACAUGCAAGUCGUGCGGAAAGGCCCUUCGGGGUGCUCGAGCGGCGAACGGGUGAGUAACACGUGAGUGACCUGCCCUUGACUUUGGGAUAACCCCGGGAAACCGGGGCUAAUACCGGAUAGGACCUGCUGGUGCAUGCUGGUGGGUGGAAAGCCGUUAGGCGGUUGGGGAUGGGCUCGCGGCCUAUCAGCUUGUUGGUGGGGUGAUGGCCUACCAAGGCGACGACGGGUAGCCGGCCUGAGAGGGCGACCGGCCACACUGGGACUGAGACACGGCCCAGACUCCUACGGGAGGCAGCAGUGGGGAAUUUUGGACAAUGGGGGCAACCCUGAUCCAGCCAUGCCGCGUGAGUGAAGAAGGCCUUCGGGUUGUAAAGCUCUUUCGGCCGGAACGAAAUCGCGCGGGUGAAUAACCCGCGCGGAUGACGGUACCGGAAGAAGAAGCACCGGCUAACUACGUGCCAGCAGCCCCGGUCA
This 521-nucleotide ribosomal RNA is filed under the name uncultured bacterium. RNAcentral's name for it is "bacterial SSU rRNA". It matches the Rfam family "Bacterial small subunit ribosomal RNA", at positions 1 to 523 of the family's 1533-position model. The record is from RNAcentral.